GACGAACGCUGGCGGCGUGCUUAACACAUGCAAGUCGAACGAUGACGACCGAGCUUGCUCGGUCUGAUUAGUUGCGAACGGGUGAGUAACACGUGAGCAACCUGCCCUUCACUCUGGGAUAACCUCGGGAAAUCGGGGCUAAUACCGGAUAUGAGCUCCUGUCUCAUGGCGGGUGUUGGAAAGUUUUUCGGUGUAGGAUGGGCUCGCGGUCUAUCAGCUUGUUUGUGUGGUAGUGGCUAACCAAGGCGAUGACAGGUAGCCGGCCUGAGAGGGCGACCGGACACACUGGGACUGAAACACGGCACAGACUCCAACGGGAGGCAGCAGAGGGGAAUAUUGCACUAGGGGCGAAAGGCUGAUGCAGCCACGCCGCGUGGGGGAUGACGGCCUUCGGGUUGUAAACCUCUUUCAGCAGGGAAGAAGCGAAAGUGACGGUACCUGCAGAAGAAGCGCCGGCUAACUACGUG
Molecule: ribosomal RNA, 467 nt
Filed under: uncultured bacterium
Lineage: Bacteria
Description: partial 16S ribosomal RNA
Rfam family: Bacterial small subunit ribosomal RNA
Source: RNAcentral